UGGGGAAUAUUGCACAAUGGGCGCAAGCCUGAUGCAGCCAUGCCGCGUGUGUGAAGAAGGCCUUCGGGUUGUAAAGCACUUUCAGCGGGGAGGAAGGCGGUGAGGUUAAUAACCUUGGCGAUUGACGUUACCCGCAGAAGAAGCACCGGCUAACUCCGUGCCAGCAGCCGCGGUAAUACGGAGGGUGCAAGCGUUAAUCGGAAUUACUGGGCGUAAAGCGCACGCAGGCGGUUUGUUAAGUCAGAUGUGAAAUCCCCGGGCUCAACCUGGGAACUGCAUCUGAUACUGGCAAGCUUGAGUCUCGUAGAGGGGGGUAGAAUUCCAGGUGUAGCGGUGAAAUGCGUAGAGAUCUGGAGGAAUACCGGUGGCGAAGGCGGCCCCCUGGACGAAGACUGACGCUCAGGUGCGAAAGCGUGGGGAGCAAACAGG
Molecule: ribosomal RNA, 429 nt
Filed under: Chloroflexota bacterium
Lineage: Bacteria; Bacillati; Chloroflexota
Description: Chloroflexi bacterium partial 16S ribosomal RNA
Rfam family: Bacterial small subunit ribosomal RNA
Source: RNAcentral